Molecule: ribosomal RNA, 612 nt
Filed under: Triticum aestivum (bread wheat)
Lineage: Eukaryota; Viridiplantae; Streptophyta; Magnoliopsida; Poales; Poaceae
Description: partial small subunit ribosomal RNA
Source: RNAcentral
AUGUCGCUCAAGUGCGCCGUGGAUCUCGGCAUCCCGGGCUCUAUCCACCGCCGCGGCGGCACCGCCACCCUGGCCAACACCAAGGUGCACCCGGCCAGGCUUGCCGACCUCCGGCGCGUCAUGGAGCUGCUCAGCGCCUCGGGUAUCUUCAGCGCCACCGCCUGUGCUACCGAUGGCACGGCCGCCGAAGUGCAGUACGGGAUGACCACGGCGUGCCGCUUCCUCGUCGGCUGGCGCAACCUGUCCCCCGUGGCGCAACCUGACCACAGCGAGCUCUUCCUCGAGGUCAUCCUUCUGGACAAGGGCCGCAUCUUCCGCGGCCUGAGCUCGCUCGUGGAUGUCGGCGGCGGCAACGGCGCGGGCACGCGGGUGAUGGCCAAGGCGUUCCCGCGCAUCAAGUGCGACGUGCUAGACCUCCCUCACGUUGUCGGCCAGGCCGCCGGUGACCAUGGCAACCUGCGUAUCGUCGCAGGUGACAUGUUUGAAUCCAUUCCACCCGCGGAUGUUGUCUUGCUCAACAACAUCAUGCAUGACUGGGGUCAUCAAGAUUGCGUCAAAAUACUUCAACUUGCAAGGAGGCUAUCCCUGCCAAGAACUCAGGAGGGAAGGUGA